RNAcentral lists this ribosomal RNA (465 nucleotides) under uncultured bacterium. RNAcentral's name for it is "partial 16S ribosomal RNA". It matches the Rfam family "Bacterial small subunit ribosomal RNA", at positions 28 to 507 of the family's 1533-position model. The record is from RNAcentral.
GACGAACGCUGGCGGCGUGCUUAACACAUGCAAGUCGAACGGAUAGGCCCCCUUGUGGGGUACUCGAGUGGCGAACGGGUGAGUAACACGUGAGUAACCUACCCUUGACUUUGGGAUAACUACAGGAAACUGGGGCUAAUACCGGAUAGGAGCUCCUGCUGCAUGGUGGGGGUUGGAAAGUUUCGGCGGUUGGGGAUGGACUCGCGGCUUAUCAGCUUGUUGGUGGGGUAGUGGCUCACCAAGGCUUUGACGGGUAGCCGGCCUGAGAGGGUGACCGGCCACAUUGGGACUGAGAUACGGCCCAGACUCCUACGGGAGGCAGCAGUGGGGAAUAUUGCACAAUGGGCGGAAGCCUGAUGCAGCAACGCCGCGUGCGGGAUGACGGCCUUCGGGUUGUAAGCCGCUUUCGCCUGUGACGAAGCGUGAGUGACGGUAAUGGGUAAAGAAGCACCGGCUAACUACGUG